Molecule: long non-coding RNA, 1424 nt
Organism: Saccostrea cuccullata (small rock oyster)
Lineage: Eukaryota; Metazoa; Mollusca; Bivalvia; Ostreida; Ostreidae
Exons: 4
Source: RefSeq, a predicted model, not a curated record
AUCAGUCAGGACAUUGUACUAUAAGGGCAUUAUACACUUCCGGUGUAAACAGCUUACUCAGGAACUGAGGAAGCAGAAUGUUCAAGGCAACCAGAAGCUUGAGUCCAUCCUGAACAUAGAGACAACACAGAUAUUAGCAAAGCUGGAUAAUAUUGCUAGAGGAUUAGUUAAUGCAACUCAGCAAGGACUAGUGAUGGAUAUGUUCCAGGUUCCACAGCUAGGAGAAUGUCAGGAAGAAAAGCCUCAUCAUUAAAAGUGUUACAGAGGCACUAAAGGAAACUGAUGGCAUUGUUUUUGUGUGGGUGAUGAGAAUAAGAGUGAGGAGGAGAUAGAUGACAGUCAAGACAAUCAGGAUGUCCAUACUGUCACUCCAGGGAAGAAGUCAUUUCUGAUCCUAGAUCUACUGUGGAAGAUUCUACAUGCAAGUGACAAGAGAUACAAAAAAAUCCCAAGGACAUCAUGAGAAAUGAAUUUAAUCAACAGACAUUGUGGAAAAGAUUUUCUAAAAUAUUGUAAUAGGACCUUAGAGAAGUGUAAAACACCAAGGAUAUAAUCUUGUUAAAAACAGAGAAAAUCUUGAUUAACAUUCUACUUUCAAUUGAUAUACUUUAAGAAAUAUGAUAAACACUGUGUUUUAGAGCCACAGUAAUGGAGGACAUUGAAUUCUUUGCAGCAGUUUUAUCAUUAGGCCAUUCCAAUUUCUUUCUGUUUUUAGUGUCUGCGGAUGGAUUGGUUUUGAGGUCAUGCAAUUAAGAACAAACACAAAAUAAAAUUGACAAAUACAAAUCUUUGACAAGCAAUUUACUCUUCUGGGAUCAGCAUCUCUCUUUUUUAAAAGUGAUGUGCCCAAGUUUUUUUUUUUGUUUCAUUAAACUAGUAGUAGUAGCAGUUUAAUUUAGUUAUAAUACGAGGAAAAUUCUCAAAUGAUGCUAAAGGAGUUCUAGAACUUUGCGUAAAAUGUUGUUUUUCCCCUUUUGGUUUGUUAUUUUUAGCUCACCUCAACGAAGUUGGGGGAGCUUAUGUAAUACCCUCGGCGUCGGCGUCGAUGUCGGUGUCAGCGUUGGCGUCCCAGGUUAAGUUUUUUGGAGCAGUUUUCUUUUUAACUACUUCUAUGUCCUAUAUGGAUUAGACAUGCAUGGAGGAUGGUUCUAGUGUGUUUCAUUGCACCAUUCAAAGUUUCAGAUGCUGCAAUUUCAGCAAAGGAAUGACCAGGUUAAUGUUUUUGGAGCAGGUUAACAUUUUUGGUGCAGUUUUUGGUGUAGGUUUCAUUUCCAAGUAACUAUAAGCCCUAUGUUGACCAAACUUGCAUGGAUGAUACAUCUAAGGAUGCAUACUAUCGGGCUUGCUUCGGAUGCUGAAUCUGACCUACAUUUUCCGGUUGAGUGAACAGGUUAAAGUUUUUGGUGCAGGUUUCAUUUCCAAGU